UCUGUACAAAAUAACUAAAAGUUAAUGUAUCUUUGUAUCAUAUUUAUUAUAUAUACAGAAACACAAACGACAAACUUUUUUCCACUCAUUAUCACUUUUAU
Rhagoletis zephyria (snowberry fruit fly) is the source of this 101-nucleotide long non-coding RNA. RefSeq lists it as uncharacterized. The record is from RefSeq and is a predicted model, not a curated record. NCBI's taxonomy places the organism in Eukaryota, Metazoa, Arthropoda, Insecta, Diptera, Tephritidae.